UAUCUCUUUAGGAUGAUUUAAAUCAUAUAUUUGAAUAGGUGAGAAGGCCAUAGAGAAAGCAAAUGAUUUAAAUAGUUUUUGAAUAUUUGAGAUUUACAAAUGAAGAUGGAGCAUGGAGAAUGACUAUAUAUCCUUUUUUCUAGGAGGAACCUAAGUCUUAUAGAAUUCCAGCGAGAUACAGAAAGGAACUAAAAUCUUUUGAGCACCUGCAAUACUUUGGGAAAUAUGUCAGUGGAGAAGAAAGGAGAGAUGUGCAUAAGCUCUGAAGAAACUUCCUGGAAGAAUUAUUCAGAGACACAUGCAGGUGAUUUGUAGGUGCUGGGUUUCAGAGACAAGCAAGACACUGUUUCUGUUCUGGAAGAACUCAAACUGAUGGAGGAGACAGAAAAUCCAUCAAUUAUGGAAGACUGGAGACGGAAAAAUGGCAAGGGAAAGGCAUGACAUCUUGCCUUUGGGAAGUAGAGAGGUAAAGAGAAGUCUCUUUGGGGGGAGAUGAGCGCUGCUCUGGGAAGGCUUGGCCAAAAAUAGCAAACUGCACAAAGCAUUCCAAGACCAUGCAUUUGAACAUGAAAAUUGCCUGGCUCAUUCAGAGAUUUACAGCUUCUUUUGGUCUAAGUAGACCAGGUUGAGUUAAGCUCAUUAACAACCAAGAAUCC
This 656-nucleotide long non-coding RNA is filed under the name Sus scrofa (pig). Its description in RNAcentral is "lncRNA (ENSSSCG00060041874.1)". The record is from RNAcentral. Lineage: Eukaryota; Metazoa; Chordata; Mammalia; Artiodactyla; Suidae.